AUCAGCAGUAUCGUAGCCAAUGAGGUUUAUCCGAGGCGUGAUUAUUGCUAAUUGAAAACUUUCUUUAAAAGUUUACUUAUUUAUUUUUAAACAAUCUCUACAUCCAGUGUGGAGCUUGAACUCACAAUCCCAAGAU
Molecule: small nuclear RNA, 136 nt
Organism: Mustela erminea (ermine)
Lineage: Eukaryota; Metazoa; Chordata; Mammalia; Carnivora; Mustelidae
Product: U4 spliceosomal RNA
Exons: 1
Source: RefSeq, a predicted model, not a curated record